GUACUCAGGUAGCUUAAUGGUGAGAGCGUCCACCUCGGAUGCGGGUGGUAGCAGGUUUCGUUAUCCGCUGAGUCACA
This is a non-coding RNA of Potamilus streckersoni, 77 nucleotides long. The record is from the annotation of a GenBank genome assembly. NCBI's taxonomy places the organism in Eukaryota, Metazoa, Mollusca, Bivalvia, Unionida, Unionidae.